UUCGCAAUGCCCGAAAGGGUGACGAAGCGACGCCGCGUGUGGGAAGAAGGCCUUCGGGUUGUAAACCACUGUCGGGAGUUAGGAAAUGUAAGGGUGCUAAUAGUAUCCUUACUUGACUAAGGCUCCGGAGGAAGCCACGGCUAACUCUGUGCCAGCAGCCGCGGUAAUACAGAGGCGGCAAGCGUUGUUCGGAAUUAUUGGGCGUAAAGAGCACGUAGGCGGCCUUGUAAGUCAGUUGUGAAAGCCUUCUGCUUAACGGAAGAACAGCAGCUGAUACUGCAAGGCUAGAGUGCGGAAGGGGAGAGUGGAACUUCUGGUGAAGCGGUGAAAUGCGUAGAUAUCAGAAGGAACACCGGCGGCGAAGGCGACUCUCUGGUCCGUAACUGACGCUGAGUGUGCGAAAGCUAGGGGAGCAAACGGGAUUAGAUACCCCGGUAGUCCUAGCCGUAAAC
This 452-nucleotide ribosomal RNA is filed under the name uncultured bacterium. Its description in RNAcentral is "bacterial SSU rRNA". It matches the Rfam family "Bacterial small subunit ribosomal RNA", at positions 365 to 807 of the family's 1533-position model. The record is from RNAcentral.